AGCAAAGGGGACCGCGGCGACGGAAGGGCGUUCGCCUUCUUUUUGGUGUGUGGUGCACACAGCGGUGUUCUUGUAACAUGCGGUGGUUUCAACCUUAAAGUGCUUCUGUUCACACUGCAUGGCUAUGUAGGAGUCAAAGCCACGGAAAAUUCAUCUCUUUGGUGGUGUCUGUGGCUCACACAAGCACAGUGAGUACUUUGUCCCGAAGGUCUCCAAGGGAGAGAGGGGUGAUUGGCCGGGGGGUGUUAGGAGAAAGCAAUAUAUGGCUGGAGGGCACAGUGCUGUAGUGUAUGAGGGCGAAAAAUGUAUGCAUCGGGUUUUGCAUAGGCACGUUAUUUGCAUAUGGAUGCGUGAAGUUUACCUGUCCCAUCCCCCGGAAGGAAAAGCUGUGAUGACACUAAAUUGAGGUUCGCUAACAUCUUUUAAGUUACUCCGCGAAAAAAAAAGAGUUCCCUUUGACAGCAAUGUGUGAACAUGGUAGAAUUUCUUUGGAAACGCAUGCACGUUUCCAGUGCCAAGUGUCAAACUUGUUUUUCAGUAUACAAGGAUAUGAACUGUUCCUAAGAAACAUUCGAUCCAAACAUCAGGUUUGAAGCAAAUGGGUUCGGAGGGUCUGUUUUGAUCCUGGUGUAAAUUUCUGGAAGAAGGAGUGCUUGUACUGGUUGAAGGAAAUGGGUUGCCUAACCUGUUGUCUUGGUUCUGGUGGAAAAGGCAUUAAAAAUUUGCAGCUGAUGCAGAAUGAUCUGUCUCGGGGGGGGGAAAAAAAAUCCCAGCUCAUAUAUAUGGGGAGAUCUCAAGUGAAAAAAUGCUGUUGUAGUUGUGGAUGUUCUUACUGGCCUUUAAAACAUCUGUAAAUUGCUGCUAAAGGCAUUGUUGCAUAUGCGCCCACACCAACUGCAAACGUUGUGGGUACAAAGUAGCUACAUGUUUGCUGCUCCCCUUCUCUGGCUGCCUUCUGAGUAUUGUAGAUAUUCCACCUUCAUUGUAGUAAGUCUUGAGUAGAGGUUUUCUCCAUGCCAUCCAUAAAAACUUCCCAUGUUUUUAACCCUUAUUCCUUUCCAUUUUUCAUGCUUACUUCAUGGAUAAGCAGUCAGAAUCUUUCAAUUGCAUUUAAGAGAAGUCUUUAAAAACUGGGGGGGUGUGCCUUCCCCCCCCCUUUUUUUUUUUCUUUUGCUUGCUUUCUUGAAUGCUGUCCCUUCCAGCUAUAUUAUUUAAGAGCCUAUGAAGUAACCAUAUCCUCUGUGCUAGGUAAGAGCAUGCAAUUGAUGCAAAACAUAAUCACAUUUUGUUUUUCCCACACAAUUUUGUAUGCACGAUUCACAUGCGGUUUGUUCUUAUGAUCAGAUUGUGGCUACACAGUGGCAGUUCGAGGUUUGACAGUGACUUCUGGCUGAGGUUUUGCUUGCCCUUUUUUCCCUGACCGGAUGCCAUUCAUUUAGAUCUUGGUUACAUACAAAGCUAGUCUGAAUUCUCUGUGCUUCAGUGUUGCUACUUGGCAUUUGAUCAGUCUAAAGUGUAAUCUUUAUCUUACAUCCUCUUGUACAGCAAAGUACUCCGGGAAAUCCUCACUGUUCUGUCACCCUUUCAUCUUACUUAACUAUCUUCACCUUUACAACUCCUUCGCAUGGCCUCAUUAAAAGUCCAAAUACAAACAGCUGUCCUAAUAAUAAGAGGUUGUGCUAACCACUUUUUAUUACUGUGGAAACUAAGUACAGUUCUUUAAGAAGUCACUCUUUAUGAGUAGCUACUUGUCUAUGCAAACUGCCCUUCUCUAAGGUUUGGUUUUGUUUUCCCACAAAAUGCAGUAGCUCAUGGACUAGUGUUUUAGCUAUGUCAUUAUCUUCUAAAUAAACCACUUACAAUUGUAAGUAAGAAAUAUAUGCCUAGAAGAAAUAAAUAUAUUAAUUGUAUUUCAAAUAUUUUAAGUAUAUUUACUAGUUAAUAGAGUAAUCUUAAAAAGCGCAGAAUCCAACUCUUUCUAAACAGUACUGGACAUGUGCCAUGCACCUCUGAAAGAUGUUGUAAUUCUGACUCAACACUGAUACCAAUAAUUUUUUUUAAUAUAUAUAAAGGUAGUUCUUGGGAGUAUUUUUGUUUUCCUUUUUCCUAGAUAUAAUUUUAAAAUUUAAACAAUGAAGUCUUCAGAAAUAAGUUACAAAAAUGCAGAAUAUUACUUCUAGAAACUGUCAGUCCUGUACAAUGAGAAACUGACACAGAUUUUGCAAUUCUAGAGAAGGGAGAUUAGAUUUGUGAAGUUGAUGACGUUUCUCCUUGGUUUGCGCUGUCUCCUUGUGCCGAGUGAGUCAAAAACUGUCCUGUAGCUCCGAUGUAUAACCUGGAACGCAUUGGCCACUUCUGCAAGAGAAGAGACAAGCACAGUGCUGAGACACCUGGGACCUUUGCAGUCUGAAUGCAGUUCUCAGCAAAGCUUUAAAUGUUGACAGACUCACAAUACAAGAAAACAGGAAGCCGUUGCCAUCACCAGGAAAUGCCUGUUUUGUCAUUUGUUGGAAGAUGUUGCUAGCUCAGCCUGGGUAUUUUCUUUGGUACCUAAUUGUGAGGCACAGCUCCCAAACACCCCAUGACCCAACAGGCAGGAGCAGGCCAUGCCGAUCAGUCAUCGUAGCACAGUUUGUACCAUAGGCGCUCUGUUAGAAUAAACCAAAGCAUUCCCCUUUACGGUGCCAGGGAUACAGCAGGGAUACACCGGCACCUGCAGAGAUUGCAGCCCUGUGUGCCUGCCCAUUUGUGCUGGCUGGCCACCACCACACCAACCGCAGCACAGGGGCUGCUAAGAGCUGUGCGAUAAAGAGAGAAUUUAAUAUAAUCACUCCUCAACAGUCUUCAGCACUGACAACUUCUUGUUCUUUGUCAGCUCCAAAGAUUUCAGAUUAGACUAUUCAUCUUUCCGUUCAUUGAUUAUUGAAAUCAUCAGUUAGACUGGCAUUAAAUAUCUAUUCUUAUUGCUCAUGUUUCUUAACCUGAGCAAGUUAGUUACUGCAAACGGCCCUGCAGUGUGACUCAGCUGGGUGCCCUUCUCCUAGGAGGAAGCACUCAGCUCCAGUUUGGUGUGCUGAUUUCAUUAUUGGAGGUGCGUGUUUGAAAAGACAGCUUGCCGUAGCCCUCCGAUGCAAAAAGACCGGUAACACAGCCAGCAUGUUGUUCCAAAAAAAUACCAUUUUUUUUAAGACACUUUUGGGAACAAGCUGGCACCUCUCCUGUGGGGAACAAAAAAAACCCACGCGCUCUAAAAACUAGAGGGGCUUAAUACUGCAGUUAAAUCUCAGCACUUUUACUUAAAGACACAAAGCAGCUGCAUAUUCUCAUUUGGAAGGACCAUACGAUCUCAUUAUUUUUAUUUCAAGUGGAAUGUUACCAGUUUGUCACCAAUAAGAUAUCUGAAUCCAAAGUCAUUAACCAUAUUUUUGUUUGGUGUACACACAACUGUACUUGGAUACUUUACUUUCCUCACUGUUUGUAUUUACUCUGCUUGAUAUAUGAAUGUAGUUAAAGUCCUUAUCUGUACUGGUUGUCUCAUAUCCUGCACUUUGGGGUUUUUGAGGCAUGUACUAUGAUUAGUCUGUGACACUUCCAUUCUAGUGCCAGCUAAGUUUAAUUUACUACCAGGAAUAUUAGAAAGAUUGGUUAGAUAGAAUCUCGAAACUACACACAGGUAAAUGGCUCACAACUAAGAUCAUAAAAAGUAAUUGCUUAAAUGAAUCCAGCAUUGCCGUAUUCCAGUAGCCUGAGAAGCGGGCAUCUGAAUCAUUUAACUGCUGUAAUAACUAUUUGCAAGUAUUUUUCUGCCAGUAAUAGUUGGCAGCUGAUAAAAAAUGUACCAUAAGAGACCUGUGUCCUUUCACUCUGACCAAGAGAACUAACAGAAGCAAUUUGAACUUAUUUUGAAAUACAUCACAAUAUUUUUUCUUAAGUUAUAGCCAUCUCCUAAUUGAUUUAAAGGUUUUUCUUUCUUAAUGAGCCUGCUAAUCAUUUCAGUGGCCUCAGAAGCCUGUGUUCACAUCAUGAUUUUUUUAGGGCAACCAACACUGUGAACAAGAAACUUUCUGUGAAUUAGUCACUUUAUAGGAAUUAGAGAUUACUUCACAAAUUAAUCUUAAUUAAAUUAUUCUGAAUCCAUCAGACUCUUAAGGGAAAAAAAAAAAAGAAAGAAAAAUAAAA
Molecule: long non-coding RNA, 4179 nt
Organism: Falco peregrinus (peregrine falcon)
Lineage: Eukaryota; Metazoa; Chordata; Aves; Falconiformes; Falconidae
Exons: 2
Source: RefSeq, a predicted model, not a curated record